This 301-nucleotide ribosomal RNA is filed under the name uncultured bacterium. RNAcentral's name for it is "partial 16S ribosomal RNA". It matches the Rfam family "Bacterial small subunit ribosomal RNA", at positions 509 to 807 of the family's 1533-position model. The record is from RNAcentral.
CAGUAGCCGCGGGAAUACAGAGGGUGCAAGCGUUAAUCGGAAUUACUGGGCGUAAAGCGUGCGCAGGCGGUUAUAUAAGACAGAUGUGAAAUCCCCGGGCUCAACCUGGGAACUGCAUUUGUGACUGUAUAGCUAGAGUACGGCAGAGGGGGAUGGAAUUCCGCGUGUAGCAGUGAAAUGCGUAGAUAUGCGGAGGAACACCGAUGGCGAAGGCAAUCCCCUGGGCCUGUACUGACGCUCAUGCACGAAAGCGUGGGGAGCAAACAGGAUUAGAUACCCCGGUAGUCCCUGUCUCUUAUAC